GACCAUGCUUGUCAUUUAUGAACAUUUUGAAAAUCUUGGCUCUCUCUAAUUUUCUCCUUCUCUCUUUCUUUCUCUCGGAGGACCUGAGCCCUAGGACCAUACGUCGGGACUACCGGCCGUGGUGACUCCUUGCUGCCCUCAGUCCGCCUGGCCUUGCUGCUAUUCCAGUUUCAACUCUUCUGCCUGCGGUUAUGGAACCCCUACCUGUCCCAGACCUGCUGUUUUCAACUCUUAAUGAUCGGCUAUGAAAAGCCAACUGAGAUUUAUUCCUGAUUAUUAUUUGACCAUGCUUGUCAUUUAUGAACAUUUUGAAAAUCUUGGCUCUCUCUAAUUUUCUCCUUCUCUCUUUCUUUCUUUCGGAGGACCUGGGCCCUAGGACCAUGCGUCGGGACUGCCGCCCGUGGUGACUCCUUGCUGUCCCCAGUCCGCCUGGCCUUGCUGCUAUUCCAGUUUCAGCUGUUCUGCCUGCGGUUAUGGAACCGCCACCUGUCCCAGACCUGUUGUUUUUCAACUCUUAAUGAUCAGCUAUGAAAAGCCAACUGAAAAUUAUUCAUGAUUAUUAUUUGACCAUGCUUGUCACUUAUGAACAUUUUUGAACAUCUUGGCAUAGUUCUGUUAUAAUCUCCACCCGGCACAGCCAGAAGAGGACUGGCCACCCCUCAUAGCCUGGUUCCUCUCUAGGUUUCUUCCUAGGUUUUGGCCUUUCUAGGGAGUUUUUCCUAGCCACCGUGCUUCUACACCUGCAUUCUAGCUGUUUGGGGUUUUAGGCUGGGUUUCUGUACAGCACUUCGAGAUAUUAUCUGAUGUACGAAGGGCUAUAUAAAAUAAAAUUGAUUGAUUGAUUGAUUGAGAGGUGGUCCUGGGAGGUUGUGGUUAGGGUUAAACCACCAGGAGCUGGGCAUUAUGAAGGGAGAGGUGGUCCAGGGAGGUUGUGGUUAGGGUUAAACCACCAGGAGCUGGGCAUUAUGAAAGGAGAGGUGGCCCAGGAGGGUUGUGGUUAGGGUUAAACCACCAGGAGCUGGGCAUCAUGGAGGGAGAGGUGGUCCAGGAGGGUUAGGGUUAAACCACCAGGAGCUGAGCAUUAUGGAGGGAGAGGUGGUCCAGGGAGGUUAGGGUUAAACCACCAGGAGCUGGGCAUUAUGGAGGGAGAGUUGGUCCAGGAGGGUUCGGGUUAAACCACCAGGAGCUGGGCAUUAUGAAGGGAGAGGUGGUCCAGGAGGGUUGUGGUUGGGGUUAAACCACCAGGAGCUGGGCAUUAUGGAGGGAGAGGUGGUCCAGGAGGGUUAGGGUAAAACCACCAGGAGCUGAGCAUUAUGAAGGGAGAGGUGGUCCAGGAGGUUUGUGGUUAGGGUUAAACCACCAGGAGCUGGGCAUUAUGAAUGGAGAGGUGGUCCAGGUGGGUUAGGGUUAAACCACCAGGAGCUGGGCAUUAUGAAGGGAGAGGUGGUCCAGGGGGGUUGUGGUUAGGGUUAAACCACCAAGAGCUGGGCAUUAUGGAGGGAGAGGUGGUCCAGGUGGGUUAGGGUUAAACCACCAAGAGCUGGGCAUUAUGAAGGGAGAGGUGGUCCAGGGAGGUUGUGUUUAGGGUUAAACCACCAGGAGCUGGGCAUUAUGAAGGGAGAGGUGGUCCAGGAGGUUUGUGGUUAGGGUUAAACCACCCGGAGCUGGGCAUUAUGAAGGGAGACGUGGUCCAGGAGGGUUGUGGUUAGGGUUAAACCACCAGGAGCUGGGCAUUAUGAAGGGAGAGGUGGUCCAGGAGGGUUGUGGUUAGGGUUAAACCACCAGGAGCUGGGCAUUAUGGAGGGAGAGGUGGUCCAGGAGGGUUAGGGUAAAACCACCAGGAGCUGAGCAUUAUGAAGGGAGAGGUGGUACAGGAGGUUUGUGGUUAGGGUUAAACCACCAGGAGCUGGGCAUUAUGGAGGGAGAGGUGGUCCAGGAGGGUUAGGGUAAAACCACCAGGAGCUGAGCAUUAUGAAGGGAGAGGUGGUCCAGGAGGUUUGUGGUUAGGGUUAAACCACCAGGAGCUGGGCAUUAUGGAGGGAGAGGUGGUCCAGGAGGGUUGUGGUUAGGGUUAAACCACCAGGAGCUGGGCAUUAUGAAGGGAGAGGUGGUCCAGGGAGGUUUGGGUUAAACCACCAGGAGCUGGGCAUUAUGAAGGGAGAGGUGGUCCAGGUGGGUUAGGGUUAAACCACCAGGAGCUGGGCAUUAUGGAGGGAGAGGUGGUCCUGGGAGGUUGUGGUUAGGGUUAAACCACCAGGAGCUGGGCAUUAUGAAAGGAGAGGUGGCCCAGGAGGGUUGUGGUUAGGGUUAAACCACCAGGAGCUGGGCAUUAUGGAGGGAGAGGUGGUCCAGGAGGGUUAGGGUUAAACCACCAGGAGCUGAGCAUUAUGGAGGGAGAGGUGGUCCAGGGAGGUUAGGGUUAAACCACCAGGAGCUGGGCAUUAUGGAGGGAGAGUUGGUCCAGGAGGGUUAGGGUUAAACCACCAGGAGCUGGGCAUUAUGAAGGGAGAGGUGGUCCAGGAGGGUUGUGGUUAGGGUUAAACCACCAGGAGCUGGGCAUUAUGGAGGGAGAGGUGGUCCAGGAGGGUUAGGGUAAAACCACCAGGAGCUGAGCAUUAUGAAGGGAGAGGUGGUCCAGGAGGUUUGUGGUUAGGGUUAAACCACCAGGAGCUGGGCAUUAUGAAGGGAGAGGUGGUCCAGGGGGGUUGUGGUUAGGGUUAAACCACCAGGAGCUGGGCAUUACGAAUGGAGAGGUGGUCCAGGUGGGUUAGGGUUAAACCACCAGGAGCUGGGCAUUAUGAAGGGAAAGGUGGUCCAGGGGGGUUGUGGUUAGGGUUAAACCACCAAGAGCUGGGCAUUAUGGAGGGAGAGGUGGUCCAGGGGGGUUGUGGUUAGGGUUAAACCACCAGGAGCUGGGCAUUAUGAAUGGAGAGGUGGUCCAGGUGGGUUAGGGUUAAACCACCAGGAGCUGGGCAUUAUGAAGGGAGAGGUGGUCCAGGGGGGUUGUGGUUAGGGUUAAACCACCAAGAGCUGGGCAUUAUGGAGGGAGAGGUGGUCCAGGGGGGUUGUGGUUAGGGUUAAACCACCAGGAGCUGGGCAUUAUGAAUGGAGAGGUGGUCCAGGUGGGUUAGGGUUAAACCACCAGGAGCUGGGCAUAAUGAAGGGAGAGGUGGUCCAGGGGGGUUGUGGUUAGGGUUAAACCACCAGGAGCUGGGCAUUAUGAAUGGAGAGGUGGUCCAGGUGGGUUAGGGUUAAACCACCAGGAGCUGGGCAUUAUGAAGGGAGAGGUGGUCCAGGGGGGUUGUGGUUAGGGUUAAACCACCAAGAGCUGGGCAUUAUGGAGGGAGAGGUGGUCCAGGGAGGUUAGGGUUAAACCACCAGGAGCUGGGCAUUAUGGAGGGAGAGUUGGUCCAGGAGGGUUAGGGUUAAACCACCAGGAGCUGGGCAUUAUGAAGGGAGAGGUGGUCCAGGAGGGUUGUGGUUAGGGUUAAACCACCAGGAGCUGGGCAUUAUGGAGGGAGAGGUGGUCCAGGAGGGUUAGGGUAAAACCACCAGGAGCUGAGCAUUAUGAAGGGAGAGGUGGUCCAGGAGGUUUGUGGUUAGGGUUAAACCACCAGGAGCUGGGCAUUAUGAAGGGAGAGGUGGUCCAGGGGGGUUGUGGUUAGGGUUAAACCACCAGGAGCUGGGCAUUAUGAAUGGAGAGGUGGUCCAGGUGGGUUAGGGUUAAACCACCAGGAGCUGGGCAUUAUGAAGGGAGAGGUUGUCCAGGGGGGUUGUGGUUAGGGUUAAACCACCAGGAGCUGGGCAUUAUGAAUGGAGAGGUGGUCCAGGUGGGUUAGGGUUAAACCACCAGGAGCUGGGCAUAAUGAAGGGAGAGGUGGUCCAGGGGGGUUGUGGUUAGGGUUAAACCACCAGGAGCUGGGCAUUAUGAAUGGAGAGGUGGUCCAGGUGGGUUAGGGUUAAACCACCAGGAGCUGGGCAUUAUGAAGGGAGAGGUGGUCCAGGGGGGUUGUGGUUAGGGUUAAACCACCAAGAGCUGGGCAUUAUGGAGGGAGAGGUGGUCCAGGAGGGUUGUGGUUAGGGUUAAACCACCAGGAGCUGGGCAUUAUGAAGGUGGUCCAGGGGGGUUGUGAUUAGGGUUAAACCACCAAGAGCUGGGCAUUAUGAAGGGAGAGGUGGUCCAAGGGAACAGUCAUAGCAGUGAAUGUCUAAUCCAAACCAGAAUCAAAACAACACAGUUGAUGGUGGUUUUCAAUAUUAGAAAAAUAUGUCAGUGAAAAAAGUAUCUUGUUGACAGACAAGCUGCUGGCCAGAGGACAGCCCUCAUGUAGGAUUAGUUUAUGUGUGCUACAAUUAGUGAACAAUAAACUCUUUGUGGUUUACUGAAGAGAAAAAUGUUUUAUAGUCAUGUUUGGUAUGUGUAUUCAGGUGAAACUGUUGAGCGUGAAAAGCCCAGCAGCAUUGCAGUGUUUGACACACCCAAACAGGUUUGCUAGGAAUCUACUACCAUACCUCGUUCAAUGUUUGGUCUUGUCCAUUCACCCUCUGAAUGGCACACACACAAUCCAUGUCUCAAUGUUUAAAAAUCAUUUUUUUUUA
This is a long non-coding RNA of Salvelinus fontinalis (brook trout), 4599 nucleotides long. RefSeq lists it as uncharacterized. Lineage: Eukaryota; Metazoa; Chordata; Actinopteri; Salmoniformes; Salmonidae. The transcript has 2 exons. The record is from RefSeq and is a predicted model, not a curated record.